Long non-coding RNA from Hibiscus syriacus, 377 nucleotides. RefSeq lists it as uncharacterized. The transcript is spliced from 3 exons. Lineage: Eukaryota; Viridiplantae; Streptophyta; Magnoliopsida; Malvales; Malvaceae. The record is from RefSeq and is a predicted model, not a curated record.
CAGGAGAGUCGGGCUGACCGAGAAACUGACUGUGGGAAUCUCAGCCGUUAAUGAGAAAGUAAAAUCUGUGGACCAAAGGUUGCAGGUGUCGGAUAAAACAAUGGCUGCAAUAUUUGCAGCAGAGAGGAAAAUAAACAACACGGGAUCAGCCGUCAAAUCUAGCAGGUACGUAACUGCUGGGACAGCUUGGCUAAACGGUGCUUUCAGCAAAGUUGCAAAGGCCGGGCAGGUUGCCGGUACAAAAACCAAAGAAAAGUUGAACCUAGCAAUGUCAAACUUGACUGCCAAGGAUGCAAUUGCAGUGUAAGUUGGAGAAUUUCUCAUCUUAAGGUCACUUUACAAAUUGUUAUCGACAUACGCAUCGGAUGAUCUUGUUA